This 253-nucleotide ribosomal RNA is filed under the name uncultured bacterium. Its description in RNAcentral is "partial 16S ribosomal RNA". It matches the Rfam family "Bacterial small subunit ribosomal RNA", at positions 524 to 776 of the family's 1533-position model. The record is from RNAcentral.
UACGUAGGGGGCUAGCGUUGUCCGGAAUUACUGGGCGUAAAGGGAGUGUAGACGGCUUGUCAAGUUAAGUGUGAAAGCCUGCGGCUUAACCGCAGAAUUGCACUUAAAACUGACUCGCUAGAGUGCAGGAGAGGUGAGUGGAAUUCCUAGUGUAGCGGUGGAAUGCGUAGAUAUUAGGAGGAACACCAGAGGCGAAGGCGGCUCACUGGACUGUAACUGACGUUGAGGCUCGAAAGCGUGGGGAGCAAACAGG